Molecule: ribosomal RNA, 252 nt
Filed under: uncultured bacterium
Lineage: Bacteria
Description: partial 16S ribosomal RNA
Rfam family: Bacterial small subunit ribosomal RNA
Source: RNAcentral
ACGGAGGGGGCAAGCGUUAUUCGGAUUUACUGGGCGUAAAGCGCACGUAGGCGGCAUUGUAAGUCAAAGGUGAAAGCCCUCGGCUCAACCGAGGAACUGCCUUUGAAACUGCCUUGCUUGAGUCCGGGAGGGGGGAGCGGAAUUCCCAGUGUAGCGGUGAAAUGCGUAGAUACUGGGAGGAACACCGGUGGCGAAGGCGGCUCCCUGGACCGGUACUGACGCUGAGGUGCGAAAGCGUGGGUAGCAAACAGG